GACGAACCGAGCGAACGUUGUUCGGAAUCACUGGGCUUAAAGGGCGCGUAGGCGGGUGCUCAAGUCCGUGGUGAAAUCCUCCGGCUCAACCGGAGAACUGCCUCGGAUACUGGGCGUCUCGAGUGUGGUAGGGGUAUGCGGAACUAUCGGUGGAGCGGUGAAAUGCGUUGAUAUCGAUAGGAACUCCGGUGGCGAAGGCGGCAUCCUGGACCAACACUGACACUGAGGAGCGAAAGCCAGGGGAGCAAACGGG
This 253-nucleotide ribosomal RNA is filed under the name uncultured bacterium. RNAcentral describes it as "partial 16S ribosomal RNA". It matches the Rfam family "Bacterial small subunit ribosomal RNA", at positions 524 to 776 of the family's 1533-position model. The record is from RNAcentral.